CAUAUACUCCCUCCGUUCGGAAUUACUUGUCACAAAAAUGGAUGUAUCUACAACUAAAAUACAUCUAGAUACAUUCAUUUCUUGGACGAGUAAUUCCGAACGGAGGGAGUAGAAA
Non-coding RNA from Triticum urartu, 115 nucleotides. NCBI's taxonomy places the organism in Eukaryota, Viridiplantae, Streptophyta, Magnoliopsida, Poales, Poaceae. The record is from Rfam.